RNAcentral lists this ribosomal RNA (469 nucleotides) under uncultured bacterium. RNAcentral's name for it is "bacterial SSU rRNA". It matches the Rfam family "Bacterial small subunit ribosomal RNA", at positions 355 to 825 of the family's 1533-position model. The record is from RNAcentral.
UCGAGAAUCUUCCGCAAUGGACGAAAGUCUGACGGAGCGACGCCGCGUGCGGGAUGAAGGCCCUUGGGUUGUAAACCGCUGUCAGAGGGGAUGAAAUCUUCGGAGGUACUCCUCCGAAGUUGACAGAGCCUCAAAGGAAGCACGGGCUAAGUACGUGCCAGCAGCCGCGGUAACACGUACUGUGCGAACGUUAUUCGGAAUCACUGGGCUUAAAGGGUGCGUAGGCGGCGAUUCAAGUCAGAUGUGAAAUGCCUGAGCUCAACUGAGGCAUUGCGUUUGAAACUGAACCGCUAGAGUAUUUCAGGGGUGUGCGGAACUGCCAGUGGAACGGUGAAAUGUGUUGAUAUUGGCAGGAACACCGGAGGCGAAAGCGGCACACUGGGGAAUAACUGACGCUGAGGCACGAAAGCCAAGGGAGCGAACGGGAUUAGAUACCCAUGUAGUCCCUGAGCGGGCUGGCAAGGCGCAU